Podarcis lilfordi (Lilford's wall lizard) is the source of this 74-nucleotide non-coding RNA. The record is from the annotation of a GenBank genome assembly. Lineage: Eukaryota; Metazoa; Chordata; Lepidosauria; Squamata; Lacertidae.
GGAGGGCCAUAGCUCAGUGGAACAGCAUCUGCUAUGCAUGCAGAAGGUCCCAGAUUCAAUUCCCAGCAUCUCCA